UUGGCCUUUUGCCAUCCGGAAGCCCUAGCUGCUUCCACCCUGUUUCGCCUAGUUCACCUUUACUUAAUGGAUGAAGCGGGUAGCAAUGCUACCUUUUCUCGAAAAAAAAUAAGACUUUCGAAUUGAGGAUCGGUUCAGUUAGACUUGAUAUAGAAUAUUUAAAAUAUCUAGAAAAUAAAUCUCAUAAUUUUUCGACAUCAUAUAUUUAGCAAAUUGAGACAGCUCAAAAUCAUCAGCUGAAAAUAAAAAUCUCAUUAAAAGUAAUAGUAUAACACUAAAAUUUUAGAUCAAAAAUAAUAAUUUUAUUUUAUAUUAAUAUAAAUACUUUUCUAUCAAAAUUUUACGUAAUUUACAUAUGUUUAUAUGUUAAACUUGUAAACAGCUCAUCUUGACCAAUUAAAAUUAUUGAUUUUCAGCCUAUUUGUUGAUCAUCAGCUCAAUAAUACUGAAAAGUUAUAAAAUUUAUUUUUGGAUAUUUGAAACACUCUAGAUCAGAUUUAACGGAUCCGAUUGUUGAUUCGAAAAUCUUCGUACUUUCGAAAUUAUUCUAUCAUGAUUUUAAUUUUUAGAUACUUCGAAUACUCUAAUAAAUCAGUUCUGGCACGGUCGAUCGUAGAUUAAAAAAUUCUCAUCAUAAAACUAACUUAAAAACACAAAGCCACCGUUUGGUUGGAGGUUAAGGGGUGGAAUAACCCCUUAACCCCCAAUUUAUACCCAAACACCACUCUUAGCCACCGUUUGGUUGGGGGUUAAGGGGUGGAAUAACCCCUUAACCCCCAAUUUAUACCCAAACACCACUCUUUUGGGGUGGGGUUAGUAAACCCCACCCCAAACCGGGUUAGUGGGGUUUACUAACCCCACUCCCCCUCCCAACUUUAACCCCGCACGUAUCCCGAGCCCUCACCUUUUUCUUCUUUAUCAAUCAUUAACCCCACUCCCCCUCCCAACUUUAAUCCCGCACGCAUCCCGAGCUCUCACCUUUUUCUUCUUUAUCAAUCAUUAUCUUUUUAUCCCACCUACUCCAACCAAACACUUUUUUUCACUAUCCUAUACUAACUCCAACCUCCAACCAAACACAAAAAAAUUUUAACACCAUUUUAACCAUGAACUUAACCCUAUCCCUGGAAUAGCUACUUUUUCUUAACCCCGAACCAAACGGGGGCAAAGGGUUCAGUGCUUCAGAAAUCAUUCUAGCAUUAGCUCAAAUAGAUAUUACACAAUGAAUCCGGCUAUGACGUUUUUAAAAGCACCAAGCAGUUAGUGCUUGUAAAAAACUUUCUACCGUUAAAUCUACUCUACGAUUAUUAUCAUCCGUUAUAUCAUACUAUUUAACGAGCCGGUCACUCGCACAUUUCUUAAUCCGAGAGUCAAAAACCUACCAACCAACGCCAAAUUCACUACAC
Molecule: long non-coding RNA, 1403 nt
Filed under: Ananas comosus (pineapple)
Lineage: Eukaryota; Viridiplantae; Streptophyta; Magnoliopsida; Poales; Bromeliaceae
Description: long non-coding RNA (ACOM_LNC016189)
Source: RNAcentral